Molecule: ribosomal RNA, 397 nt
Filed under: uncultured bacterium
Lineage: Bacteria
Description: partial 16S ribosomal RNA
Rfam family: Bacterial small subunit ribosomal RNA
Source: RNAcentral
CCUACGGGGGGCAGCAGUGAGGAAUAUUGGUCAAUGGGCGGGAGCCUGAACCAGCCAAGCCGCGUGCGGGAAGAAGGUACUGCGUAUUGUAAACUUCUUUUGUCAGGGAACAAAGGCAGGGACUAGUCUCUGGCUGAGGGUAUCUGAAGAAUAAGCAUCGGCUAACUCCGUGCCAGCAGCCGCGGUAAUACGGAGGAUGCGAGCGUUAUCCGGAUUUAUUGGGGUUAAAGGGUGCGGAGGCGGUCGGUUAAGUUAGAGGUGAAAUCCCGGGGCUCAACUGCGGACGUGCCUUUGAUACUGGCAGGCUAGAGAGUAGGUGAGGUAGGCGGAAUGUAUGGUGUAGCGGUGAAAUGCUUAGAGAUCAUACAGAACACCGAUUGCGAAGGCAGCGUACCAA